This is a non-coding RNA of Brachypodium distachyon (stiff brome), 125 nucleotides long. The record is from Rfam. NCBI's taxonomy places the organism in Eukaryota, Viridiplantae, Streptophyta, Magnoliopsida, Poales, Poaceae.
AAUGUACUCCCUCCUAUCCAUAUUAGUUGUCAAAAUAUUACAUGUAUCUAGACUUUUUUUAGGCAUAGAUACAUCCAUAUUUGGGCAAAUUUGAGACAAUUAAUAUGGAUCGGAGGGAGUACAUU